UGGGAUUUGAAUUUGCAGUAACAGGUGUGAACAUUCUAGCAGCAGUUUGAUGAUCAUGUAUAAUACUGCAAACAGAACCUA
This is a microRNA precursor of Carlito syrichta (Philippine tarsier), 81 nucleotides long. NCBI's taxonomy places the organism in Eukaryota, Metazoa, Chordata, Mammalia, Primates, Tarsiidae. The record is from Ensembl.